CGAUAAGUUUGAUCCUGGCUCAGGACGAACGCUGGCGGCGUGCUUAACACAUCAAGUCACGGGGGUCCGCAAGGCAACCGGCGAACGGGUGCGUAACACGUAGCGACCUGCCUGGAAACGGGGGAUAGCCGGCCCAACGGCCGGGUAAUACCGCAUACGCUGCUUGCGAGGCAUCUCGUGGGCAGGAAACCUCCGGGGUUUUCAGAGGGGCUCGCGGCCUAUCAGCUAGUUGGCGGGGUAAUGGCCCACCAAGGCGACGACGGGUAGCUGGUCUGAGAGGAUGGCCAGCCACAUUGGGACUGAGAGACGGCCCAGACUCCUACGGGAGGCAGCAGUGGGGAAUCUUGCGCAAUGGCCGAAAGGCUGACGCAGCGACGCCGCGUGUGGGAGGAAGCUCUUCGGGGUGUAAACCACUGUUGCCCGGGACGAACAGCUCUUUUCGAGGAGCCUGACGGUACCGGGUGAGAAAGCACCGGC
Molecule: ribosomal RNA, 477 nt
Filed under: uncultured bacterium
Lineage: Bacteria
Description: bacterial SSU rRNA
Rfam family: Bacterial small subunit ribosomal RNA
Source: RNAcentral